AGUCGGCGGGGUAACGGCCCACCGAGGCGACGAUGCGUAGGGGUUCUGAGAGGAAGGCCCCCCACACUGGUACUGAGACACGGACCAGACUCCUACGGGAGGCAGCAGUGAGGAAUAUUGGUCAAUGGGCGCGAGCCUGAACCAGCCAAGUCGCGUGAGGGAGGACGGCCCUACGGGUUGUAAACCUCUUUUGCCGGGGAGCAACGGGCGCCACGUGUGGCGUCACUGAGAGUACCCGGAGAAAAAGCAUCGGCUAACUCCGUGCCAGCAGCCGCGGUAAUACGGAGGAUGCGAGCGUUAUCCGGAUUUAUUGGGUUUAAAGGGUGCGUAGGCGGAUCGUUAAGUCAGUGGUCAAAUUGAGGGGCUCAACCCCUUCCCGCCAUUGAAACUGGCGCUCUUGAGUGGAAGAGAAGUAUGCGGAAUGCGUGGUGUAGCGGUGAAAUGCAUAGAUAUCACGCAGAACCCCGAUUGCGAAGGCAGCAUGCCGGCUUCCGACUGACGCUGAAGCACGAAAGCGUGGGGAUCGAACAGGAUUAGAUACCCUGGUAGUCCACGCGGUAAACGAUGAGCGCUAGGUGUCCGGGGGGAAUGGCCCCUGG
Molecule: ribosomal RNA, 599 nt
Filed under: uncultured bacterium
Lineage: Bacteria
Description: bacterial SSU rRNA
Rfam family: Bacterial small subunit ribosomal RNA
Source: RNAcentral